This is a long non-coding RNA of Gasterosteus aculeatus aculeatus (three-spined stickleback), 519 nucleotides long. The record is from Ensembl. Lineage: Eukaryota; Metazoa; Chordata; Actinopteri; Perciformes; Gasterosteidae.
GAUCGUUUCUAAAUAUGCCUUUUAAUUUUUCUGACGGUUUAGUUUAUGUUAUAAUGAUCUCUGGCCUUCAACUGUCCUUCAGCGAACAUCCUCCGUGGUUUAUGUUCCGCUCUGGAUCACAGUUGUGGUGUGUUUCUCGUUUUGAGAGCUUCCUGGCUGCAGUGUGGCACCUCGUCGAGCCGCUGACUCACCUGAAUGUGGCUCAGGUAUCCAUGGAUGCGAGAGACCGGCGCCAGCAGCAGUGGUUUAGUCUGUUGAACUCCAUCGAGAGGAAGGAUGCCAGGGUGGUCGUGUAUCCGAGGUACAUAUCCGAAAACGCUGUCUGGACGAGUCAAAGCAGUCGCGGCUCACCUGUGCCUUCGCUCAGCCCCGCUUUCAGGCCCUGCAGGAAACAGUGCAGGAGCAGCUUCCCUCUGGACAGAGCGGACCGCCGCCCACAGGCUGCUCCUGCUGGCUCGCUGCAGUGCGCCACGGUGGACGGACGGGAGGACGUCUGAACAGCGGUUGUUUGCUGUCCGC